Molecule: long non-coding RNA, 1502 nt
Filed under: Callithrix jacchus (white-tufted-ear marmoset)
Lineage: Eukaryota; Metazoa; Chordata; Mammalia; Primates; Cebidae
Description: lncRNA (ENSCJAG00000055730.2)
Source: RNAcentral
AUUUUUUAAAACAUGAUUAAUCAGACACAUCUUUUUACUUACUUGCUAGAGAACACUGUGAUUGGGAAUAACAACUAAGCAUUGAUAUUUCUGCCUCGUUUUGAGUUGAAACAGGAGGGCUAGAAGAGAAUGGUAUGAAUAAAGGGGAAUGGGCUGGAAAGGUGCAUGUGAGACAGAGAAAGGUGAGAAAAGUCUGGGCCUUUGUUCUUGUCCAGAAUCUUACCAUGUAUUACAAGGAGGGAUAGUCGUUGGUUAAAAUGCUCCAUGACAACCUUGCUUAUGACCUGCUUUUCCUUAGAACCACUGCAGGGGUGAAAGACAGAACAUAGAAUUGUCACAUCGUUUCACAGAAGAGCCAUCUCCUAGUUAUCUUUUUGGUUACCUUUAAUAACCAAACAACCAAACCAAGAAUUUGGCAGAUAUUUUCACUAACUCUGAUUUCCUGGGGCCUGACUGGCUAAUGUAUGCAUUGACUCAUGAAAUAAAACAGAGCUUUUCAUCAGAAAGAAGAAGGGGCCAGGUGUGCUAGCUCAUUCCGGUAAUCCCAGCAUUUUGGGAGGCUAAGGCAGGAGGAUCACUUGAGACCAGGAGUUCAAGACCAGCCUGGGCAAAAUGGCAAGACCUCCUCUCUAAAAAGAUAUUUUUUAGAAAAUUAGCCAGAUAUGGGGGUUUAUGUUUGUAGUCUCAGCUACUCAGGAGGCUGAGGUGGGAGGAUCAUUUGAGCUCAGGAGUUUAAGGCUGCAGUGAACUAUGAUUACCCCCUCUGCACUCCAGCCUGGGUGACAAAGUGAGACCACAUUUCUAAGAAAAAAAGAAAAAAAGAAUUGAAGUUAAAAAUUUUAAAUCUUGAAGAAAGGAAAACACUAUAUUCUUCCUCCUGAUUUUUGACUCUUAACUAAAACUAAUCAUCAUCUCCCCACUUUUACUGUACGGAGGACUCUCCAAAUGGGUUAUAAUAUUGCCCUUUGCCCUAUCUUCCCUCUUUUCUACCCCUGUUACUUUCUGUGUCCAGCUUGGGACUGUCAAUUACAGAAAACAAGGGAAUACUGACACAUUAAAUCUUGAACACACCUCCCCCUUAGUAAAGCCCUUCUAUAAGGUAAUACUUGCUAGAAGAAAUAGAUCCCGAAAUGAGGAUGCCUCGAAAUCAACCAAGGCUUAUUUUUCACUCAAGCAGUAAUAGAAAACAAAUGGUUAGUGUUUUAAAACUAGUAUAAAGUUUUAAAAUUGAAAUUCUAACCCAGGGGCCAACAUACUAGACAGCUGUCAGACACCAGAGUGAAGGGGAUAUGGACUAUUGCAAAGGAAUCUUUAGAGUAGAUAUCUGAGACCAAGUUCCGUUAUCUUUGAGAGUCUGGUGAGAUGUUGAGAAUAGAAAAAUUUAGAAGAAUGGAGAGAAAGUUGGGGGUGGAUUUUGGGAGAUGCCUUCAGAAGACGCCCCUGCCAGGUGUGUUUGAAUCCCAGCUCUAGGAUAGGGUUAAUUAACUUUCUUCAACUUCAAG